AUUAUCAAUUAAGAAAACAAAAGUUUGCUGCUAAUCCCUAAACCACAACAAGAACACAAACGUGAACAACUAAACAAUAGACAAAGAUAUUGCGGCCACCACACUUACUGUAGUGAUUCAACGUCACCGGAGACGAUCGAGGUCCUUCGCGUCGGUUGAUGAAAGGGUGUUUUUCGUCGCCGCAACCACCAUCUAACACCCGGUUCUGCAAUUAUAGAAAUAAGAAAAGAAUCUAGUGAAGAGAAAAAGGCUUGUGUCAGAAAAAACGACUUGUAGGCUUGGGUUAGAUUGAUCUGCACUCCUCUAGACGAACCAGUGUCCUUGUCAACUUUUGGGAUCCAAUGAUUCUGGAUAUUAUGUAUGUCGAUCUAUGCAGGAGACAAUAGCAAGUAGAGGACAAGUAGUUCCCCCAGAGGUAACUUACUUUCCUAGACUUCCUGCCACUUAUUCUCAAGAAAUGGUUAACGAGAUACGAGACACUUUGGUAACUUAUGUUUUGAAGCAUAUGCAAGUCAACAAUCAAGAAGUCGGAGAAAAUGAGUGCAUGGAUGUUGAUCAAGAAUGACUUUGUAGCUAAAUGUUUUGGACAUUCAUAUUUUAGUAAGAAAAAAAUGUUUUAGGAAUUUUUGUGUGUAAUAAAUGUAAGGAGUUUUGGAGGAUGAUUAAUUAGGUACACUAGUUUAAUUACAGGUUUGGAUAACUGCGAAACUUAUAUUUAAUUCUUAUGGUUGUUGUUAGCCCAUAAUUUUGGAUUUGUUGGAUUGUAUUUAUUAAUUAGUGAAUAUUGCAAGUACA
This is a long non-coding RNA of Spinacia oleracea (spinach), 795 nucleotides long. RefSeq lists it as uncharacterized. The transcript is spliced from 5 exons. The record is from RefSeq and is a predicted model, not a curated record. NCBI's taxonomy places the organism in Eukaryota, Viridiplantae, Streptophyta, Magnoliopsida, Caryophyllales, Amaranthaceae.